ACGCUGGCGGCGUGCCUAAUACAUGCAAGUCGAGCGGACUUGAUGGAGUGCUUGCACUCCUGAGAGUUAGCGGCGGACGGGUGAGUAACACGUAGGCAACCUGCCCUCAAGACUGGGAUAACUACCGGAAACGGUAGCUAAUACCGGAUAAUUUAUUUCGCAGCAUUGUGGAAUAAUGAAAGACGGAGCAAUCUGUCACUUGGGGAUGGGCCUGCGGCGCAUUAGCUAGUUGGUGGGGUAAUGGCUCACCAAGGCGACGAUGCGUAGCCGACCUGAGAGGGUGAACGGCCACACUGGGACUGAGACACGGCCCAGACUCCUACGGGAGGCAGCAGUAGGGAAUCUUCCGCAAUGGGCGAAAGCCUGACGGAGCAACGCCACGUGAGUGAUGAAGGUUUUCGGAUCGUAAAGCUCUGUUGCCAAGGAAGAACGUCUUCUAGAGUAACUGCUAAGAGAGUGACGGU
This 464-nucleotide ribosomal RNA is filed under the name Paenibacillus sp. 635(2010). Its description in RNAcentral is "bacterial SSU rRNA". It matches the Rfam family "Bacterial small subunit ribosomal RNA", at positions 33 to 476 of the family's 1533-position model. The record is from RNAcentral. Lineage: Bacteria; Bacillati; Bacillota; Bacilli; Caryophanales; Paenibacillaceae.